UUCUCCUGGGAAACGGGUGGUAAUGCCGGAUGCUCCGACUCCUCGCAUGGGGUGUCGGGAAAGAUUCAUCGGUAUGGGAUGGGGUCGCGUCCUAUCAGGUAGUCGGCGGGGUAACGGCCCACCGAGCCUACGACGGGUAGCCGGCCUGAGAGGGCGACCGGCCACAUUGGGACUGAGAUACGGCCCAGACUCCUACGGGAGGCAGCAGUGGGGAAUAUUGCACAAUGGGCGCAAGCCUGAUGCAGCGACGCCGCGUGCGGGAUGACGGCCUUCGGGUUGUAAACCGCUUUUGAUCGGGAGCAAGCCUUCGGGUGAGUGUACCUUUCGAAUAAGCACCGGCUAACUACGUGCCAGCAGCCGCGGUAAUACGUAGGGUGCAAGCGUUAUCCGGAAUUAUUGGGCGUAAAGGGCUCGUAGGCGGUUCGUCGCGUCCGGUGUGAAAGUCCAUCGCUUAACGGUGGAUCUGCGCCGGGUACGGGCGGGCUGGAGUGCGGUAGGGGAGACUGGAAUUCCCGGUGUAACGGUGGAAUGUGUAGAUAUCGAAAAAGAACACC
This 554-nucleotide ribosomal RNA is filed under the name Bifidobacterium pseudocatenulatum. RNAcentral's name for it is "bacterial SSU rRNA". It matches the Rfam family "Bacterial small subunit ribosomal RNA", at positions 145 to 710 of the family's 1533-position model. Lineage: Bacteria; Bacillati; Actinomycetota; Actinomycetes; Bifidobacteriales; Bifidobacteriaceae. The record is from RNAcentral.